This 485-nucleotide long non-coding RNA is filed under the name Gopherus agassizii (Agassiz's desert tortoise). Its description in RNAcentral is "lncRNA (ENSGAGG00000022522.1)". The record is from RNAcentral. Lineage: Eukaryota; Metazoa; Chordata; Testudines; Testudinidae.
GCCAGUUGCAGGUCAGCUGCAGAGAAGGACGACAACUCUUGAGACAUUUCUUAGUGACCAAGAGCUUGCGAAGAUACCACAGCCAAGAUGCUAAGGAUUUGGGCCAUUCUCCUCUUCGGCAGCCUGCUGACCCCCUCUCAAGGGCUAGAUGGUGCUGCUCAAGUUUGUGCCAGGGUGAAUCCAAAUGUAUUAGGAAAAAUUAUAGAUGACUUGUUCCACAGAGAUGACAUUCUCAGAAGUGUGCUAGGACUCGUGUUAGCUGGCAAUGGGGGGCCCCUCAACCUGGGAAAUCUGCUGGGCACUGGCAUCACAGGGUAAGUCGGGGGCAGCCCAGGUGUCAGUGAACAAACCACGGGCUGAUUUCUGGCCAAUGGGGGAAGGGGGAAACUGGCAGAACCAGCUUCCAACGAGGAGCACAAAGAUGUUGCAAAAGGCAGUGCUGAUGUCCGGCCCCAUUCUGGAUAUGAGCAGUCCCCUCCCCUCCC